This 429-nucleotide ribosomal RNA is filed under the name Chloroflexota bacterium. Its description in RNAcentral is "Chloroflexi bacterium partial 16S ribosomal RNA". It matches the Rfam family "Bacterial small subunit ribosomal RNA", at positions 355 to 776 of the family's 1533-position model. The record is from RNAcentral. Lineage: Bacteria; Bacillati; Chloroflexota.
UGGGGAAUAUUGCACAAUGGGCGCAAGCCUGAUGCAGCCAUGCCGCGUGUGUGAAGAACGCCUUCGGGUUGUAAAGCACUUUCAGCGGGGAGGAAGGCGAUAAGGUUAAUAACCUCAUCGAUUGACGUUACCCGCAGAAGAAGCACCGGCUAACUCCGUGCCAGCAGCCGCGGUAAUACGGAGGGUGCAAGCGUUAAUCGGAAUUACUGGGCGUAAAGCGCACGCAGGCGGUCUGUCAAGUCGGAUGUGAAAUCCCCGGGCUCAACCUGGGAACUGCAUUCGAAACUGGCAGGCUAGAGGCUUGUAGAGGGGGGUAGAAUUCCAGGUGUAGCGGUGAAAUGCGUAGAGAUCUGGGGGAAUACCGGUGGCGAAGGCGGCCCCCUGGACAAAGACUGACGCUCAGGUGCGAAAGCGUGGGGAGCAAACAGG